AAAGGGGACUAGAGAGAUAAAUGC
RNAcentral lists this non-coding RNA (24 nucleotides) under Cricetulus griseus (Chinese hamster). The record is from RNAcentral. Lineage: Eukaryota; Metazoa; Chordata; Mammalia; Rodentia; Cricetidae.